UUUUGCAUUUUAAAAUACCACUUUUGAUUUGGAUGAAACUAAAUAUCUGUACAAAGGACACAACGCAAAGUUUUUGAUUUCUCUCAAAACAUAUAUUUCUUUUCAUGUUGAACAGAUAAUAUCUUUAAUUUGAGUCAAAGUGAUUUGCACUUGAACACGCCCACCAGAAAUAGACCGGGACCCAUUUUUAUUCUGCAUGGCUGCUGGAAACAUCGUGUCACAUCUUUGAUUAAUUUCAUCUGAAAAUAAACAACCACAGAUCGCUCCAUCCAUUCCAUGGCUGAAGCAUACAUUUUCAUUUAAUCUGAACAGAUAUCCCAGAAAGAUGAAGCUGAGGAAGAGCUGCAGAGUACCACCAUGGCACUCUUCGUCUUCAGGGACAACUCAAGCCUCCUACAUCAGCCUCGAGACAUCGGGAUAAUCAUUGAUGGUGUGGAAGUCCUGAAUGAGUUGCCUUCUGUGGCAGCUGGAGUGGCAAUGGUCUUUGGACUCUGUUAUGCUCUUAAUAUGGAAUAUCCACGAGGAUUCAGGUUCACCUUUGAGGCUCUUCAAAAGAUUAUGAUGGAGCUUGACUUUAACAAGAUGACCUCUAAGAUUCGCAAACUUAAUUGUGAACUUAACACUGCACAGUAGUGUGUUUGCAUGCAUGUGUAUGUGUAUGUGCACAUGCAUGUGCAUGUGCAUGUGUGCUUGGUUAUUUUGCUUGGUUGGCCUGCAGUGGUAUUCUACAUUCAAAAUUUAUAAGAACACCCAUUUGAAAGGGAGAUUUAAGUUGAUUUCAUUGAUACAUGUGUAGAUUUAUUUUAUUUUUUUUACAUUGUACAGGCACAGUGCACAUAAACAUUUUUGAGUACUUGCAAAUUGGUUUAAAAAGAGUUUUUAUAAUGGUUUUAUGCCAGUUUUAGACAGGUUGCAGGUUUUAUACUGGUUUUCAAAAGAUUGCAGGUUUUAUAAAACAAACAUUUCUCUAAUCAUUUCUGCCGUAGCACUAAAUCUGUAUAUUACUAAUCCUCUCUAUUGAUUAUAGUUAAAAUGGUUUGGAACAAUAAAUAAUUUUGAAAUAA
Molecule: long non-coding RNA, 1064 nt
Organism: Maylandia zebra (zebra mbuna)
Lineage: Eukaryota; Metazoa; Chordata; Actinopteri; Cichliformes; Cichlidae
Source: RefSeq, a predicted model, not a curated record